UCUGGAAACCAUAGAGCUGUGGCACCACCUGAUCCCAUUCCGAACUCAGAAGUGAAACACAGUAUCGCCGAUUGUAGUGUGGGGUCUCCCCAUGUGAGAGUAGGUCAUUUCCAGGC
Molecule: ribosomal RNA, 116 nt
Filed under: Shewanella denitrificans
Lineage: Bacteria; Pseudomonadati; Pseudomonadota; Gammaproteobacteria; Alteromonadales; Shewanellaceae
Also listed under: 1 other name
Source: RNAcentral